CCUACGGGUGGCAGCAGUGGGGAAUAUUGCGCAAUGGGCGAAAGCCUGACGCAGCGACGCCGCGUGAGGGAUGAAGGUCUUCGGAUCGUAAACCUCUGUCAGCAGGGAAGAACGGUCACUGUGCUAAUCAGCAGUGAAUUGACGGUACCUGCAAAGGAAGCACCGGCUAACUCCGUGCCAGCAGCCGCGGUAAUACGGAGGGUGCGAGCGUUAAUCGGAAUUACUGGGCGUAAAGCGUUCGUAGGCGGUAGGUCAAGUCAAGGGGGAAAUCCCCGCGCUCAACGUGGGAACUGACUUUGAAACUGGCAAACUGGAGUGUGUGAGAGGAUAGUGGAAUUCCAGGUGUAGGAGUGAAAUCCGUAGAUAUCUGGAGGAACAUCAGUGGCGAAGGCGACUAUCUGGCACAUAACUGACGCUGAGGAGCGAAAGCGUGGGUAGCAAACAGGAUUAGAUACCCCUGUAGUC
This 465-nucleotide ribosomal RNA is filed under the name uncultured bacterium. RNAcentral describes it as "partial 16S ribosomal RNA". It matches the Rfam family "Bacterial small subunit ribosomal RNA", at positions 338 to 795 of the family's 1533-position model. The record is from RNAcentral.